This 827-nucleotide ribosomal RNA is filed under the name Setophoma poaceicola. RNAcentral describes it as "partial large subunit ribosomal RNA". It matches the Rfam family "Eukaryotic large subunit ribosomal RNA", at positions 88 to 935 of the family's 3401-position model. The record is from RNAcentral. Lineage: Eukaryota; Fungi; Ascomycota; Dothideomycetes; Pleosporales; Phaeosphaeriaceae.
GGCGAGUGAAGCGGCAACAGCUCAAAUUUGAAAUCUGGCUCUUUCAGAGUCCGAGUUGUAAUUUGCAGAGGGCGCUUUGGCGUUGGCAGCGGUCCAAGUUCUUUGGAACAGGACGUCACAGAGGGUGAGAAUCCCGUACGUGGUCGCUAGCCAUCACCGUGUAAAGCCCCUUCGACGAGUCGAGUUGUUUGGGAAUGCAGCUCUAAAUGGGAGGUAAAUUUCUUCUAAAGCUAAAUACUGGCCAGAGACCGAUAGCGCACAAGUAGAGUGAUCGAAAGAUGAAAAGCACUUUGGAAAGAGAGUCAAAUAGCACGUGAAAUUGUUGAAAGGGAAGCGCUUGCAGCCAGACUUGCCUGUAGUUGCUUACCUAGACUUUUGUCUGGGGCACUCUUCUGCAGGCAGGCCAGCAUCAGUUUGGGCGGUUGGAUAAAGGUCUCUGUCACGUACCUCCCUUCGGGGAGGCCUUAUAGGGGAGACGUAAUGCAACCAGCCUGGACUGAGGUCCGCGCAUCUGCUAGGAUGCUGGCGUAAUGGCUGUAAGCGGCCCGUCUUGAAACACGGACCAAGGAGUCUAACAUCUAUGCGAGUGUUUGGGUGUCAAGCCCAUACGCGUAAUGAAAGUGAACGGAGGUGGGAACCUUAGGGUGCACCAUCGACCGAUCCUGAUGUCUUCGGAUGGAUUUGAGUAAGAGCAUGGCUGUUGGGACCCGAAAGAUGGUGAACUAUGCUUGAAUAGGGUGAAGCCAGAGGAAACUCUGGUGGAGGCUCGCAGCGGUUCUGACGUGCAAAUCGAUCGUCAAAUUUGGGCAUAGGGGCGAAAGACUAAU